This 465-nucleotide ribosomal RNA is filed under the name Vreelandella stevensii. RNAcentral's name for it is "partial 16S ribosomal RNA". It matches the Rfam family "Bacterial small subunit ribosomal RNA", at positions 338 to 795 of the family's 1533-position model. The record is from RNAcentral. Lineage: Bacteria; Pseudomonadati; Pseudomonadota; Gammaproteobacteria; Oceanospirillales; Halomonadaceae.
CCUACGGGCGGCAGCAGUGGGGAAUAUUGGACAAUGGGGGGAACCCUGAUCCAGCCAUGCCGCGUGUGUGCAGAAGGCCCUCGGGUUGUAAAGCACUUUCAGUGAGGAAGAACGCCUGGUGGUUAAUACCCAUCAGGAAAGACAUCACUCACAGAAGAAGCACCGGCUAACUCCGUGCCAGCAGCCGCGGUAAUACGGAGGGUGCGAGCGUUAAUCGGAAUUACUGGGCGUAAAGCGCGCGUAGGUGGCUUGAUAAGCCGGUUGUGAAAGCCCCGGGCUCAACCUGGGAACGGCAUCCGGAACUGUCAAGCUAGAGUGCAGGAGAGGAAGGUAGAAUUCCCGGUGUAGCGGUGAAAUGCGUAGAGAUCGGGAGGAAUACCAGUGGCGAAGGCGGCCUUCUGGACUGACACUGACACUGAGGUGCGAAAGCGUGGGUAGCAAACAGGAUUAGAUACCCUGGUAGUC